Molecule: ribosomal RNA, 253 nt
Filed under: uncultured bacterium
Lineage: Bacteria
Description: partial 16S ribosomal RNA
Rfam family: Bacterial small subunit ribosomal RNA
Source: RNAcentral
UACGAAGGGGGCUAGCGUUGUUCGGAAUUACUGGGCGUAAAGCGUGCGCAGGCGGCUUCUCAAGUCAGGGGUGAAAGCCCAGAGCUCAACUCUGGAAUUGCCUUUGAGACUGAGUGGCUUGAGUACGGGAGAGGUGAGUGGAAUUCCCAGUGUAGAGGUGAAAUUCGUAGAUAUUGGGAAGAACACCGGUGGCGAAGGCGGCUCACUGGCCCGAAACUGACGCUCAUGCACGACAGCGUGGGGAUCAAACAGG